Molecule: RNA transcript, 2055 nt
Organism: Malus domestica (apple)
Lineage: Eukaryota; Viridiplantae; Streptophyta; Magnoliopsida; Rosales; Rosaceae
Source: RefSeq, a predicted model, not a curated record
AUUUAUAUACGUUUCUCGUUAAAAUACAUUUUACCGCCAUCAUAUUUAUUCACCGGAGUUUCCCAAGUGGUAUAAAGUUAAAACGACGAGGAGUUACUGUUAACACAACAAAAGCCGUUGAAAAAAGUGUUGCUCAUUUCAGAAGCGCGAAAAUUCGGUUAAUCGCGACGGACGCCGGCGAAUCGACGACGACGAGGAAACAGCGAUGAGCAGCGGUCAAGGUGGACCCCACUCCCUGGCCUUCCGGGUGAUGAGGCUGUGCAAGCCCUCAUCCCAGGUGGACCCCAUUCCCCUCCUUCUCGACCCCGCCGAUCUCGUCGUCGGCGAGGACGUUUUCGACGACCCAAUGGCAGCCGCGCAACUCCCCCGCCUCCUCGACGUCCACGACUCCUUGAACCCCUCCUCCUCCGCCUCCUCUGACUCCUCGGAUCUCACCUACCGCACCCGGUUCCUCCUCCACCACCCCUCCGACUCCAUUGGCCUCUCUGGCCUCCUCGUCCUCCCCCAAGCCUUCGGAGCAAUAUACUUAGGGGAGACAUUUUGUAGCUAUAUUAGCAUCAAUAACAGCUCCAAUUUCGAAGUCAAGGACAUUAUAAUCAAGUCGGAAAUGCAAACAGAAAGGCAGAGACUUGUGCUGUUGGACACGUCGAAUUCGCCGGUUGAAUCCAUACGUGCAGGCGGCCGUUAUGACUUCAUUGUUGAACAUGAUGUCAAGGAACUCGGAGCUCACACGUUGGUUUGCACUGCAUUGUACUAUGACGGUGAUGGUGAGCGUAAAUAUCUACCACAGUUCUUCAAAUUCAUUGUUUCCAAUCCGCUUUCUGUCAGGACGAAGGUCCUUGUUAUAAAGGAAAUCACGCUUUUAGAAGCUUGCAUCGAAAACCAUACAAAGUCAAAUCUUUUUAUGGAACAAGUUGAGUUUGAGCCCGCUCAGCAUUGGAGUGCAAAAAUCCUAAAAUCUGACGAACACCAUUCCGAAAAGAAUUCUCAAACAAGAGAGAUAUUUAAGCCACCAAUUCUCAUCGAAUCCGGUGGAGGAAUUCAUAACUAUCUUUUUCAGUUAACAUCACAUGGUUCAACCCAAGGGAAAGUUGAGGGAAGCAAUAUUCUUGGUAAACUUCAGAUAACAUGGCGAACUAAUCUGGGCGAACCUGGUCGCCUACAAACACAGCAAAUUAUGGGAACUCCCAUAACACGAAAGGAUAUUGAGUUGCAUGUUGUGGAGGAGCCAUCUGCCAUCAAGUUGGAAAGACCCUUUUUGCUACACUUGAAUUUAGCAAAUGAGACAGAUAAGGAACUCGGCCCUUUCGGAGUUUGUUUAUCACAAGAUGAUUCACGUGAGGAGAAUGUUGUUGUGAUUAAUGGUCUUCAAACAGUGGUUUUGCCGAGGGUUGAGGCGUUUAGUUCCACAAAUUUCAAUCUGGUACGGAGAAUAAUUUCACCAGCACCUUAUACAUUCAGUUUAAACAUCUUUGGUAAAUGAGAAUCACAAUGGAGAUGAUGCUCUCUAAACCCCGCAACCCAAAUAACCUGAUUGCCACUAAACUUGGAGUUCAGAGGAUCACGGGCAUUACUGUGUUUAACAUAAGAGAGAAAAAGUCAUACGACCCUUUGCCAGAUAUGGAGAUUUUUGUGGAUCUCGACUAAUCAAUGCUUAGGUUUUACCGGUUUUGCUUCCCGUCUUGUGUGGGGAUUAUCAAACAUGGAGCAGAUGCCAUGAUCUGUCUCUUCAAUGAGCUUUAAUCAAGUUCGAGUCCUAUUACUGGUGACAUUUACCCUCCUCCGGCUUUCGAUGACUUGUUUCAGUAAUCUCUUCCUUCCCAAACCAAGCAUUUGACAGUUUGAUUACACAUUUAGGAACUAUUGUAUAGUUCUAAGAUUAGAAUGACCGAAAACGUGCUUCACAUCUAGUUGUGACGCGAUGAAACGCACGUAGUCUAUAAGGAAAUUGCAGAUUUCUGAUACAAUUGCUUGGAAACUAUUGUUACAUCAGACGAACUCCAUUUUUUCUUUCCCUCCAUUUCUUGGAAACUUGCGAAGAAAUUAUUGUUUCAA